AAGGGGAACAUAGCAUAGCCAGUUAUCUCUCCAAAAAAGAGUCCUUUUGCCAUUACACCACAUACUUGCACAUCUCCUAAUAGGUCUCCAGCUGAAUGAGAGUCUCAUCUUUCUAUGAUAAGCAUGUUGUACUUGUUUCUUCCAAAGAUCUGAGUCACAUGAGAGCAUUCUCCAAUCCUAUUUAGCCAAGAGUGAUUUAUUGAGUUGCAAAAUAUCUUUCACUCUCAAACCUCUUUCAUCC
This 241-nucleotide long non-coding RNA is filed under the name Elaeis guineensis (African oil palm). Its description in RNAcentral is "long non-coding RNA (EGUI_LNC004589)". Lineage: Eukaryota; Viridiplantae; Streptophyta; Magnoliopsida; Arecales; Arecaceae. The record is from RNAcentral.